GCAGAUGUAGUUUAGUGGCAGAACUUGAGCUUCCCAAGCUUACGGUGCGGGUUCGAUUCCCGCCAUCUGCUCCA
Molecule: transfer RNA, 74 nt
Filed under: Clostridiales bacterium
Lineage: Bacteria; Bacillati; Bacillota; Clostridia; Eubacteriales
Description: tRNA-Gly
Rfam family: tRNA
About the family: Transfer RNA (tRNA) molecules are approximately 80 nucleotides in length. Their secondary structure includes four short double-helical elements and three loops (D, anti-codon, and T loops).
Source: RNAcentral